AACCAAUCGGUGUAGUUCCGUACCCCACAACAACGAAACUGCAAAGCAAGAAGAUAAGAAAAAAAAGGGGGGACAUGUGUGUGUUUGUGCCUCGUAUCAGGAAAAACUCCCAAUGGUUUCAAACCAGUUUCCUAACAGGUUUCUUAGACCUGCAGUUGGAAAACAGGAGAGGCUGAAAGUAAACCUGCAUAUUUUUUUUUCUCUCUCAUAUCAUCAUCAUCAUCAUCAGUUCUGGACACAUUAAGUAUGGUCCAAAGAGAUGCUACUUACCGUCAUUAAGAGACAUCGAUGUUCUGUGGCUGCCCCCAAGCAUCCAAGAAACCCCACUACCAUGAUGAUGGCACCUGUUGCCAUGAAGAAUCCGGCUGCUAACAGCGAUGG
Long non-coding RNA from Crotalus tigris (Tiger rattlesnake), 381 nucleotides. RefSeq lists it as uncharacterized. The record is from RefSeq and is a predicted model, not a curated record. NCBI's taxonomy places the organism in Eukaryota, Metazoa, Chordata, Lepidosauria, Squamata, Viperidae. The transcript is spliced from 3 exons.